GCCUAGGUAGCUCAGUGGGUUGAGCAUCUGACUUUGGCUCAGGUCAUGAUCUUGCAGUUCGUGAAUUCAAGCUCCACACUGGGCU
Molecule: transfer RNA, 85 nt
Filed under: Felis catus (domestic cat)
Lineage: Eukaryota; Metazoa; Chordata; Mammalia; Carnivora; Felidae
Rfam family: tRNA
About the family: Transfer RNA (tRNA) molecules are approximately 80 nucleotides in length. Their secondary structure includes four short double-helical elements and three loops (D, anti-codon, and T loops).
Source: Rfam by way of RNAcentral